CCCACCAAAGCCCCCAGUGUCUUUCCUCUCACCCCCUAUCAUGUCUCCUGGUAUAUUUCUCCUUUUUACAGGAGAAAGCCCUUAUGAUUGCAGUUCCAACCUCAUCAUUUGGUACCAAACCCCAGUCUCAUCAGCUGGAAGGAUGAUUUGAAAGGGAAAAAGAGUAAAGAUAUCUUAAGGAAGGAAGAACAACAUCAAAUUGAUACAGAGAAAGCAGGCUACAGCAUGAACCUUGAGGGAAGGCAAGUCUAGCUUUUGCUUCUACUCAAAAGGACCAUCCCUUGAAUCAACAAAGAAAAGAAAGAAGAGAGGAAAAAGGGCAGUUCAACAAGACUAAUCAAAAACAUCAACUGAACCUUACAGUAUAAGCGUUUAUAUUAAAGACUAUAUAGAGUUUC
Antechinus flavipes (yellow-footed antechinus) is the source of this 398-nucleotide long non-coding RNA. RefSeq lists it as uncharacterized. The record is from RefSeq and is a predicted model, not a curated record. Lineage: Eukaryota; Metazoa; Chordata; Mammalia; Dasyuromorphia; Dasyuridae. The transcript has 4 exons.